Ipomoea nil (Japanese morning glory) is the source of this 579-nucleotide long non-coding RNA. RefSeq lists it as uncharacterized. The transcript has 3 exons. The record is from RefSeq and is a predicted model, not a curated record. NCBI's taxonomy places the organism in Eukaryota, Viridiplantae, Streptophyta, Magnoliopsida, Solanales, Convolvulaceae.
ACUAGGGUUUUUGUUUAUAAGAUCUCGUCAUUGUUUCUGUACUUCGAUUAAGCUUUUCUUUAUCGGCAGCGGAGGAGAGAUUUGCAUUGAAACCUAGCGCAGCAGUUCAACAUGAGAGCUAAGUGGAAGAAGAAGCGUAUGAGGAGGUUGAAGAGGAAGCGCCGAAAGAUGAGGCAGAGAUCCAAGUAGAAGCACGAAUCUGUUUCCUCCUAUCUUCGGCUUUUUAGGUUUAUCUGUGCUGUUUCUGUUUUUGUUUCGGAGCGUUUUAGUAGUAACAUGUCGUUCUGUAAUCCGAGAAUUUCUGCUUUGUGGAGUAGUCGAGAUUGCAAUCUUCAGUUUUACACAAUGAACUUAAGAGUGUGUUGCUUUAAUAUAUUUCUCUCUCAAUUUUAUUCCUUUUGUCUCGUUACUAUAGCGAUUAUCUGCAAAUCAGAAAUGAUUAAUCUCUCUAAUAGUUUUUUUUUCUUUUUUGCUGUUUUGUUAAGAAUGUUGUUAUUAUAGAAGUGCAGUAGUGCUGAAUUCAUCUAAACACAUGAUAGUCUUGAGAAUGACCAUUGAAUGAAAGGAUAUUAUCUGCAA